Molecule: ribosomal RNA, 433 nt
Filed under: uncultured bacterium
Lineage: Bacteria
Description: partial 16S ribosomal RNA
Rfam family: Bacterial small subunit ribosomal RNA
Source: RNAcentral
AACGAACGCUGGCGGCAUGCCUAACACAUGCAAGUCGAACGAGACCUUCGGGUCUAGUGGCGCACGGGUGCGUAACGCGUGGGAAUCUACCCUCAGGUUCGGAAUAACUCAGAGAAAUUUGAGCUAAUACCGGAUGAUGACGUAAGUCCAAAGAUUUAUCGCCUGAGGAUGAGCCCGCUUAGGAUUAGGUAGUUGGUGAGGUAAAGGCCCACCAAGGCGACGAUCCUUAGCUGGUCUGAGAGGAUGAUCAGCCACACUGGGACUGAGACACGGCCCAGACUCCUACGGGAGGCAGCAGUGGGGAAUAUUGGACAAUGGGCGAAAGCCUGAUCCAGCAAUGCCGCGUGAGUGAUGAAGGCCUUAGGGUUGUAAAGCUCUUUUACCCGGGAUGAUAAUGACAGUACCGGGAGAAUAAGCUCCGGCUAACUCCGUG